Molecule: ribosomal RNA, 779 nt
Filed under: Massilia sp. A1a-14
Lineage: Bacteria; Pseudomonadati; Pseudomonadota; Betaproteobacteria; Burkholderiales; Oxalobacteraceae
Description: bacterial SSU rRNA
Rfam family: Bacterial small subunit ribosomal RNA
Source: RNAcentral
GGCGAACGGGUGAGUAAUAUAUCGGAACGUACCCAAGAGUGGGGGAUAACGUAGCGAAAGUUACGCUAAUACCGCAUACGAUCCAAGGAUGAAAGCAGGGGACCUUCGGGCCUUGUGCUCCUGGAGCGGCCGAUAUCUGAUUAGCUAGUUGGUGAGGUAAAGGCUCACCAAGGCGACGAUCAGUAGCUGGUCUGAGAGGACGACCAGCCACACUGGAACUGAGACACGGUCCAGACUCCUACGGGAGGCAGCAGUGGGGAAUUUUGGACAAUGGGCGCAAGCCUGAUCCAGCAAUGCCGCGUGAGUGAAGAAGGCCUUCGGGUUGUAAAGCUCUUUUGUCAGGGAAGAAACGGYUGUGGCUAAUAUCCAYGGCUAAUGACGGUACCUGAAGAAUAAGCACCGGCUAACUACGUGCCAGCAGCCGCGGUAAUACGUAGGGUGCAAGCGUUAAUCGGAAUUACUGGGCGUAAAGCGUGCGCAGGCGGUUUUGUAAGUCUGACGUGAAAUCCCCGGGCUCAACCUGGGAAUUGCGAUGGAGACUGCAAGGCUAGAAUCUGGCAGAGGGGGGUAGAAUUCCACGUGUAGCAGUGAAAUGCGUAGAGAUGUGGAGGAACACCGAUGGCGAAGGCAGCCCCCUGGGUCAAGAUUGACGCUCAUGCACGAAAGCGUGGGGAGCAAACAGGAUUAGAUACCCUGGUAGUCCACGCCCUAAACGAUGUCUACUAGUUGUCGGGUUUUAAUUAACUUGGUAACGCAGCUAACGCGUGAAGUAGACCGCC